Molecule: long non-coding RNA, 1075 nt
Filed under: Bemisia tabaci
Lineage: Eukaryota; Metazoa; Arthropoda; Insecta; Hemiptera; Aleyrodidae
Description: lncRNA ENSSSA2NGG011568
Source: RNAcentral
GCAGCACAUCUUUGCUGAUGACGCGAGGACCUCAGCUUGCAAACUUCGCAAAUAUUUGAUUCUCUUGUUCCCAAGCGUGCUUCAGUGUGACUGGCCGCCCGGCAUUGUUGAUAGUGAAGUUUCGAUGGUUAUACUCCAAUCUCCGAUUCAUUCUGCGAUUUUCUCGUGUCAUAAUGGCCUUUUCACCAGGACUCAAUUUGUGUCAAGAUGGCAUCAUUCACAUCGGGUCCAAACUUGAUCAGCAUCAGCCAAUCACGUAUCUGCAAAAUGAAGAUGUCAAAUUAUUCGCCAGGAGUUGGGGCAACAACGAUGAUCCAUUAGUGCAAAAGCCAUUAGUGCUUUGGAGAGACUUGAUGCCAAAUUUAUGGACAGCCUAACGAGCCCUUUACCCGCUGAGCGCAAACACGUAACUUUGUCUUUGUUAAAAAACAUAAAAGUAGAAGAGGCAGAGGACGAUGAAUAUCCACCUAGAGAACAUUCUAGUAAGAUCGCUAUCAUCCACUUGGUUCCAAAAAAGGAAAUUGACAUCGAAUUCUCCAACAGGGUCAUGACAAACGAGCUGCCUGAUUCAAAAGCCGAAGUUAAGUUACAACAUGAGCUUUUUUCUGACAGCACUGGAGAAUACUUUGACAAUGGUCAUCAAGAGAUUAGCAUACAGGGCUCAUACAGUUUGAACAAUCCAAUUGUUGUCCUCGAAAAACUUGAUCCAGAGUUGGUUCGCAGCCAUUUGAAAGCGAUAGAAAAUUCACUCAGUCCGAGCCAUUCAGUUCCACCGUUUGGGUUGAGUAUAGAGGAGACUUUAGAUUUGGAUCAUCUCUCUAUUCACGAUCAAAACAUAGAAAAACAAGGAGCAAGCGAUGUGUCAAUGAACGAUCCAAAAUCGUCGCUAGCAGAACGCCGAAAAUCGUCCAAUAGGAGGGUUAUAAGGAAGUUCGCUCCAACCAAGAACGAAAGACUGCCUCAUCACAUUCAUUUGCAUGAAUCUGCACCUAAGAGAUCUUCCAGUUUUUUCAAAAAUUCGGCACUGAAUUGUCAUCAACCGAAUGAGGAAAAUUUAGGGACGAAAAUGUCCAAG